GCACAGGCGGUGGAGUAUGUGGUUUAAUUCGAUGCAACGCGAAAACCUUACCUACCCUUGACAUGCUAGGAACUUGCCAGAGAUGGCUUGGUGCCGAAAGGGAACCUAGACACAGGUGCUGCAUGGCUGUCGUCAGCUCGUGUCGUGAGAUGUUGGGUUAAGUCCCGCAACGAGCGCAACCCUUGUUCAUUAAUUGCCAUCAUUCAGUUGGGCACUUUAAUGAGACUGCCGGUGACAAACCGGAGGAAGGUGGGGAUGACGUCAAGUCCUCAUGGCCCUUAUGGGUAGGGCUUCACACGUAAUACAAUGGUCGGUACAGAGGGUUGCCAACCCGCGAGGGGGAGCCAAUCCCAGAAAACCGAUCGUAGUCCGGAUUGCAGUCUGCAACUCGACUGCAUGAAGUCGGAAUCGCUAGUAAUCGCGGAUCAGCAUGUCGCGGUGAAUACGUUCCCGGGCCUU
RNAcentral lists this ribosomal RNA (459 nucleotides) under uncultured Thiobacillus sp. RNAcentral's name for it is "bacterial SSU rRNA". It matches the Rfam family "Bacterial small subunit ribosomal RNA", at positions 923 to 1382 of the family's 1533-position model. The record is from RNAcentral. Lineage: Bacteria; Pseudomonadati; Pseudomonadota; Betaproteobacteria; Nitrosomonadales; Thiobacillaceae.